Molecule: long non-coding RNA, 2476 nt
Organism: Nyctereutes procyonoides (raccoon dog)
Lineage: Eukaryota; Metazoa; Chordata; Mammalia; Carnivora; Canidae
Exons: 3
Source: RefSeq, a predicted model, not a curated record
CCCGGCAUGGGUGGGGAAGGUACCUGUGCAGGGUUAAGGACAGUGAGCAUUGGGAAGGCGAGUCCUUGAAUUCCAGACUCGCAUUUAUCUCUGGGGUCAUCAGCGCUGACUGUGUAGACAGGGAUGGCCCAGGCAGGUGGGGCUCCGGGAUGCUCUGUGCCAGGCACAGUGUGGCUGUAGGAUGAGCAAGACAUACAUGGCCCCUGGCCUCAUGGAAUUUUCAGGGCAGGAGCCGAGACAGACAUGAAUCAAGCAACCACAGGCACCUAUGGAGAGAAGACCGUGGAUAGUGCCUCCCCACCUUGCCAUGAUGCUCAUCUCCUGUGUGGUGCAGAAGGGAUGCCCCAACUUCCCAGCACCCUGAUAAAGGGAGGACGCAGAAGGCCACUGAGAGCUCUGGCCAGUCACUUGCCAGUCAGGACCCUGGACAGGGAUGCAAUGACCCUCCACUUCCAGCCAGACCUCAAGGGAUUCACUGUUAUGGAUCUUGGUCAGCCUCGCUUCUCUGGAGCUUCCAAACCAAUCCUUGCCCAAGUCAGAAUGACCCUGGUUCCACCGGCUGCAUAGGCAGAUUUUCGCUAUGUGAUGCAAGAUGUCCACCAGCUGCUACUGCCUCAUCUUUAUAGUUCAUGGCCUCAGAAGAGAGAGUUUCCAGAGAGUUCUGGCAAAAGUCUCAGGGAAGACUCCUAUUGGCCUGGCUUGGAUCAUGAGUUUAUCCUCGAGCCAAGUGCCGUGCCUGCGGGGUGGAUGCUCUGGUUGGCCAGGCCCGGUUCUGGAGCUGCCCUGCCUGGGCCUGUGGGGAGAGCACCCCGCCUGAGCCACACGGACGGGGUAGGAUUAAUGGGGGGAGACGGUGUCUGCCAAAAGCAGUCUGGCCUGACAGACAGGUGUCCCCAACGCCUGGCCUUCAUCAGGGUUGCACCUCCGUCUGUAGAGAAGAUGCUUGCUAUUUGAAUACAGAAUUGGCUACGGCUGGACUACAAACUGAUAGCCACGCAGGGCGGUUGGGCCCUGCUCGGGCCUGUGUGAGGCUCCUACCGUCUAGUCACCCUCAGGCUAAGGUGGUGGCGAGUGGGCGGUUGCCAUCCAAGCCUGCACCCGGGGCCCAGGCUUUCCCCGACUGUUGUGCAGUGCAAACAAACAGCCCUGACCUGGGAGGAGACCCCAGUGGAGCAGCCCUUUCCCAGUGCAGGUGGCUUGAGAUUAAAUACUAAGUGGCCCUUGUCAGCAUUUCGGGAUGCCCUCAACGUCCUUUUUUCGGGCCAUCCUUGCACAGCCCCCGACUCCCCUAAUUCCCAUAUAGUGGCCUGGGCCUCUACCGCCCUGGGAAAAGCGUAGUUCCUUUGUCCUCACUCUCUGGCCAGGUCCCAGGCCUGGCUUGCAGCCUCUCUGCUGAGAGUGGCGUCUCUUGGCUACGGGGGGCAUGCUUGCGAUUUGGGGGUGCUUGCUGUGCUGAGGGCUGGAUCAGAGAGAGUCAGAGGACAGGGGUGUGCUGGAAGGCAGCAUUUGGGGACGAUCUUAUCCCAGAUUGGGUUUCUGGGCAGAUAGGCAGAGAGAUGGGGAGUCUGUCCUUCCCAAAGCCUCCAAGGAGGCAACCCUCCCAUCUGACCUGCGUGGUGGGGCCUCUGCUGGAGCCCACCUCGAUCUCACCUGCCUUCCCUUCCCUCAUGGCCCCAGGCUGGACAAUACUGUUCCUUCCUCUGGGCCUUUGUCUAUGCUGUUCCCCCUCCUGGCAUGCCCUCUCCUGCCCACCGAUCAGUAGGCAUCCUUCGAAAUCCCACUCACUCAAGUAGCCACUGCACACAAGUGGGAAUUUGACCUACGGCCGUUCCUAGUAUGUGAAGAUGCGUCGCAGCAUGUGCUCCUUCCAGCAGCCAGCGCCGCUGGCUCGAGCCGCAGGGCUUCUGUGCAGCCUGGAGAGGCUGUGCUGUACAAGCUCCAGAGAGUCAACGUCCUCCCACACCCGAACCAGCCCUCAGCCAAUGACCUACUGGCCCAGCGCCCUCGCUCCCUGAGUGGGAUAACUCCGAGGUGUGGUUUACACAGUUUCCCAGAGUCUCCCUGCGGGAUGAAAGUCCAGGUGCCCUGGGUGGUAGCUUGCUUGUUGACAUACACUUCAGUGGCCUCCUCCUUGGCCUCUCUGGCUUCUGAACUCCCACAUGAGUUUUCUAGCAUCAUCCGCCAGUAUGGGAUAAAGUAUGGCACUAAAUUGUGCCCCCCAGCUCCCCCUGUAACUGUAUUUGGAGACAAGGCCUCUAGGGAGAUAAUUAAGGUUAAGUGAGGCCAUAAGAGUGAGACCAUAAGGACGCCUGGGGGGCUCAGUGGUUGAGCGCCUGCCUUCGGCUCAGGGCUUGAUCCUGGGGUCCCGGGAUCGAGUCCCACGUCGGGCUCCCUGCAUGGAGCCUGCUUCUCCCUCUGCCUGUGUCUCUGCCUCUCUCUCUCUGUAUCUCUCAUGAAUAAAUAAAUAAAAUCUUUA